UCCGGUUUGUUUCCGGCAGUCUCUCUAGAUAGAUAACUAAAGACAAGGGUUGCGCUCGUUGCGGGACUUAACCCAACAUCUCACGACACGAGCUGACGACAGCCAUGCAACAUCUGUGCACCCGUCCGAAGAGGGGCUGCUUUCACAGCCUUGCGAGUGCAUGUCAAGCCCAGGUAAGGUUCUUCGCGUUGCAUCGAAUUAAACCACACGCUCCGCUGCUUGUGCGGGGCCCCGUCAAUUCCUUUGAGUUUUAGUCUUGCGACCGUACUCCCCAGGCGGGCCACUUAAUGCGUUAGCUUCGGCACGGAAGGGGUCAACACCCCCCACACCUAGUGGCCAUCGUUUACUGCUAGGACUAC
This 359-nucleotide unclassified non-coding RNA is filed under the name uncultured Ktedonobacteria bacterium. RNAcentral's name for it is "contains 16S-23S intergenic spacer region". Lineage: Bacteria; Bacillati; Chloroflexota; Ktedonobacteria. The record is from RNAcentral.